GAAAGGGUUGUGACUCAGUGGCAGGGCAGUUGCUUAGUAUGCAGAAGGUCAAAGGUUCAAUCCCUGGCAUUUUCA
RNAcentral lists this transfer RNA (75 nucleotides) under Sphaerodactylus townsendi. RNAcentral's name for it is "tRNA-Thr". Lineage: Eukaryota; Metazoa; Chordata; Lepidosauria; Squamata; Sphaerodactylidae. The record is from RNAcentral.